This 432-nucleotide ribosomal RNA is filed under the name uncultured bacterium. Its description in RNAcentral is "partial 16S ribosomal RNA". It matches the Rfam family "Bacterial small subunit ribosomal RNA", at positions 29 to 506 of the family's 1533-position model. The record is from RNAcentral.
AGCGAACGCUGGCGGCAGGCCUAACACAUGCAAGUCGAACGAACUCUUCGGAGUUAGUGGCGGACGGGUGAGUAACACGUGGGAACGUGCCUUUUGGUUCGGAAUAACUCAGGGAAACUUGUGCUAAUACCGAAUGUGCCCUUCGGGGGAAAGGUUUAUCGCCAUUAGAGCGGCCCGCGUCUGAUUAGCUAGUUGGUGAGGUAACGGCUCACCAAGGCGACGAUCAGUAGCUGGUCUGAGAGGAUGACCAGCCACACUGGGACUGAGACACGGCCCAGACUCCUACGGGAGGCAGCAGUGGGGAAUCUUGCGCAAUGGGCGAAAGCCUGACGCAGCCAUGCCGCGUGAAUGAUGAAGGUCUUAGGAUUGUAAAAUUCUUUCACCGGGGACGAUAAUGACGGUACCCGGAGAAGAAGCCCCGGCUAACUUCGU